This 515-nucleotide ribosomal RNA is filed under the name uncultured bacterium. RNAcentral's name for it is "partial 16S ribosomal RNA". It matches the Rfam family "Bacterial small subunit ribosomal RNA", at positions 28 to 523 of the family's 1533-position model. The record is from RNAcentral.
GAUGAACGCUGGCGGCGUGCCUAAUACAUGCAAGUCGAGCGAAUGGAUUGAGAGCUUGCUCUUAUGAAGUUAGCGGCGGACGGGUGAGUAACACGUGGGUAACCUGCCCAUAAGACUGGGAUAACUCCGGGAAACCGGGGCUAAUACCGGAUAACAUUUUGAACCGCAUGGUUCGAAAUUGAAAGGCGGCUUCGGCUGUCACUUAUGGAUGGACCCGCGUCGCAUUAGCUAGUUGGUGAGGUAACGGCUCACCAAGGCAACGAUGCGUAGCCGACCUGAGAGGGUGAUCGGCCACACUGGGACUGAGACACGGCCCAGACUCCUACGGGAGGCAGCAGUAGGGAAUCUUCCGCAAUGGACGAAAGUCUGACGGAGCAACGCCGCGUGAGUGAUGAAGGCUCUCGGGUCGUAAAACUCUGUUGUUAGAGAAGAACAAGUGCUAGUUGAAUAAGCUGGCACCUUGACGGUACCUAACCAGAAAGCCACGGCUAACUACGUGCCAGCCGCCGCGGUAA